GAUGAACGCUGGCGGCGUGCCUAAUACAUGCAAGUCGAGCGAACGGACGAGAAGCUUGCUUUUCUGCUGGUAGCGGCGGACGGGCGAGUAACACGUGGAUAACCUACUUAUAAGUCUGGGAUAACUUCGGGAAACCGGAUCUAAUAACGGAUAAUAUUUUGAACCGCAGGGUUCAGAAGUGAAAGACGGUCUUGCUGUCACUUUUAGAUGGAGCCGCGCUGCAUUAGCUAGUUGGUAAGGUAACGGCCUACCAAGGCAACGAUGCAUAGCCGACCUGAGAGGAUGAUCGGCCACACUGGAACUGAGACACGGUCCAGACUCCUACGGGAGGCAGCAGUAGGGAAUCUUCCGCAAUGGGCGCAAGCCUGACGCAGCAACGCCGCGUGAGUGAUGAAGGCCUUCGGAUCGUAAAACUCUUUUAUUAGGGAAGAACAUAUGUGUAAGUAACUGCGGCCAUCUUGACGGUACCUAAUCAGAAAGCAACGGCUAACUACGUG
This 497-nucleotide ribosomal RNA is filed under the name uncultured bacterium. RNAcentral describes it as "partial 16S ribosomal RNA". It matches the Rfam family "Bacterial small subunit ribosomal RNA", at positions 28 to 507 of the family's 1533-position model. The record is from RNAcentral.